GGCUAUAGCUGCAUUGGGCGCAGAUGACUGAACUGCCCACUUAUUUGUGUGUGUCUGUGUCUGCAGGUAUACUGAUGAGGCACACAAAGGACUCAGUCACAGCAGCCAUCUUCCUUCUCCCUGACCUCUUCAAUGAUGAUCCCAGAGGUCUCAACAUUAUGGACAAGACUUCACCCUCCCUACACCGCUGAUGAAUAUAACUGG
Molecule: long non-coding RNA, 204 nt
Organism: Salvelinus sp. IW2-2015
Lineage: Eukaryota; Metazoa; Chordata; Actinopteri; Salmoniformes; Salmonidae
Source: RefSeq, a predicted model, not a curated record